CUAACACAUGCAAGUCGAGCGGAUGAGAAGAGCUUGCUCUUCGAUUCAGCGGCGGCGGGUGAGUAAUGCCUAGGAAUCUGCCUGGUAGUGGGGGACAACGUUUCGAAAGGAACGCUAAUACCGCAUACGUCCUACGGGAGAAAGCAGGGGACCUUCGGGCCUUGCGCUAUCAGAUGAGCCUAGGUCGGAUUAGCUAGUUGGUGAGGUAAUGGCUCACCAAGGCGACGAUCCGUAACUGGUCUGAGAGGAUGAUCAGUCACACUGGAACUGAGACACGGUCCAGACUCCUACGAGAGGCAGCAGUGGGGAAUAUUGGACAAUGGGCGAAAGCCUGAUCCAGCCAUGCCGCGUGUGUGAAGAAGGUCUUCGGAUUGUAAAGCACUUUAAGUUGGGAGGAAGGGCAUUAACCUAAUACGUUAGUGUUUUGACGUUACCGACAGAAUAAGCACCGGCUAACUCUGUGCCAGCAGCCGCGGUAAUACAGAGGGUGCAAGCGUUAAUCGGAAUUACUGGGCGUAAAGCGCGCGUAGGUGGUUUGUUAAGUUGGAUGUGAAAGCCCCGGGCUCAACCUGGGAACUGCAUCCAAAACUGGCAAGCUAGAGUACGGUAGAGGGUGGUGGAAUUUCCUGUGUAGCGGUGAAAUGCGUAGAUAUAGGA
RNAcentral lists this ribosomal RNA (657 nucleotides) under uncultured bacterium. RNAcentral's name for it is "bacterial SSU rRNA". It matches the Rfam family "Bacterial small subunit ribosomal RNA", at positions 48 to 701 of the family's 1533-position model. The record is from RNAcentral.